GAGGGUAUAGCUCAAGUGGUAGAGCACAUGCUUAGCAUGCAUGAGGACCUGGGUUCGAUCCCUAUUACCUCCU
Camelus ferus (Wild Bactrian camel) is the source of this 73-nucleotide transfer RNA. It matches the Rfam family "tRNA". From Rfam's summary of the family: Transfer RNA (tRNA) molecules are approximately 80 nucleotides in length. Their secondary structure includes four short double-helical elements and three loops (D, anti-codon, and T loops). The record is from Rfam. Lineage: Eukaryota; Metazoa; Chordata; Mammalia; Artiodactyla; Camelidae.